Molecule: ribosomal RNA, 518 nt
Filed under: uncultured bacterium
Lineage: Bacteria
Description: bacterial SSU rRNA
Rfam family: Bacterial small subunit ribosomal RNA
Source: RNAcentral
AGAGUUUGAUUCUGGCUCAGGAUGAACGCUAGCUACAGGCUUAACACAUGCAAGUCGAGGGGCAUCAGGAAUCUAGCUUGCUAGGUUGCUGGCGACCGGCGCACGGGUGAGUAACGCGUAUCCAACCUCCCCUAGCAGGGCAUAGCCCGGCGAAAGUCGGAUUAAUACCCUAUGUUAUCUGAAGAAGACAUCUGAAUUGGAUUAAAGAUUUAUCGCUAAGGGAUGGGGAUGCGUCCGAUUAGGUUGUUGGCGGGUAACGGCCCACCAAGCCUUCGAUCGGUAGGGGUUCUGAGAGGAAGGUCCCCCACACUGGUACUGAGACACGGACCAGACUCCUACGGGAGGCAGCAGUGAGGAAUAUUGGUCAAUGGGCGCGAGCCUGAACCAGCCAAGUAGCGUGCAAGGAUGACGGCCCUAUGGGUUGUAAACUGCUUUUAUGCGGGGAUAAAGUGCGCCACGUGUGGUGUUUUGUAGGUACCGCAUGAAUAAGGACCGGCUAAUUCCGUGCCAGCAGCUGC